UACGUAGGUGGCAAGCGUUGUCCGGAAUUACUGGGCGUAAAGAGCGCGUAGGCGGCUAUUUAAGUCAGGUGUGAAAACUCGGGGCUCAACCCCAAGAUUGCACUUGAAACUGGAUAGCUUGAGGGCAAGAGAGGAAAGUGGAAUUCCCAGUGUAGCAGUGAAAUGCGUAGAUAUUGGGAGGAACACCAGUGGCGAAGGCGACUUUCUGGCUUGUACCUGACGCUGAGGCGCGAAAGCGUGGGUAGCGAACAGG
This 253-nucleotide ribosomal RNA is filed under the name uncultured bacterium. RNAcentral describes it as "partial 16S ribosomal RNA". It matches the Rfam family "Bacterial small subunit ribosomal RNA", at positions 524 to 776 of the family's 1533-position model. The record is from RNAcentral.